Molecule: long non-coding RNA, 3457 nt
Organism: Petromyzon marinus (sea lamprey)
Lineage: Eukaryota; Metazoa; Chordata; Hyperoartia; Petromyzontiformes; Petromyzontidae
Source: RefSeq, a predicted model, not a curated record
CUCCGCAGGAAUGUGUUUUAUUUUUCCGGCAGCCUAUUUGGUUGAGGUGGGACCACAGCGGAAACAUAACGAAAACUCCCCACACACCAGCAAGAAAGAGGAAACAAACAACACGCUUUUUUCGCACUGAAAGGUGCACAAGGAAGUGUGCACAAGGAAGUGAGAGGUGUGUAGCUGGACAUGGCUGGAUCAUCUGCUUGGCUCCGUGUCGCCUGCAUCGUCGCUGGUUGGGCUGCUGUCAUGAGCAAUAUCCCCGGAAAAACUGAGCAAGUCAAAGCAAAACAACACCAAAAUAUCCUCCUUCAUUGUCUGACAAUCUGCAAAGGCCAAGUUAGCAAUAUUGUUUGGUUUGUGUUUACAGGUACAUGGGAACACAUUAACGAUUAUAGUGACAAAGAAAAGCAUGUCAAUAAAUACAUUCAACAUGAUAACCACUCCCUUACCAUUGAAAAUCCUGACUGGAUGGGCUCUAGAUUGCACAGAUGUCAAUGGUCAUGUAAAUCUGAAAAUUGUUUUGUUGAUAUACAUAUUCUCAUCAUCAAAGGUAAGAAAGUAACACGCAAACACAUUCAUUUUGAACAAAGCACAUACUAUACCAAAAAUAACACGAAUACAUGUUUCUAUUAAUGCAUUAUUAUGCAAGUUUAAUGAAAGAGGUUGUGAUCAUUACAACCCACGUUUUUCCAAAUUGAUGGUCGUUAUCUCAGAGGGUUCUAGUCGGUGAAAGUGGGACUAUGAAUUGGACUCAAAUUAACUCAAGUUCAGGGGAUCUUUUCAUUUAGCCCAUGAGCCACAGAAGAAAUUGGUACCACCGAAGAUAGCAACUAUUUAGUCAUACCAAUUGAUUUAUUUAGUGUAAAUACGAGUGGAAUACUUGAUAUUUGAUCAUCCACAAGUCGAAAUGGUUAUCACAAGAUGUACUGUUGUUGGCCAGAAAUAUGAACCACCAGAAUGAUGCCACCUCAGGUCGUACUGGCAGGUGGGAUAUCUGGUCUGGGCUUAUGGACUACCUGUCAUUUCAUUUACACUCAUUCCUAAUUGGGCCAUCUUCACAUCCACUCCACAGUCCUUCAUAUCCUGCUUCACCAAUUCAAAUCACCUCUUUCUCGUGCUGAAGCUACACAAUAUUUGAGCGAUAACUAGAAUGUGGAAUUUCCACGAGUGGCUAAGUGUUAUGCAUAGUUAUGGUGCUUUGGAGAAUGGUAAGGCCACUUAACAUUUCCUGGUCUCAAAAAGGCUGUUUUGAAGUCCAAAAGAUUGCAACAUUUUUUAUUUUGUCCUAUUGUUAAAUUUCCUGGCCUCACAGUUCGCAUGGUUGGCUACAUACGGUGCUCAAGAAGUUCAACAUACAUUCAUAUGCAAAUAAUGGGGCUGUGAAGUGGGCAUGGUUGGCACAAUAGUAGGUUGGACCUAUUCGCAUUAAGUUGGGCCAACACCAUCAAGGGUUAGCCCCACUCACUGGUUGGGUGGAACGAGUGAUUGGGCAUGGCUGAGAGGCAGGUGGUUUCAGCUUAUCAUGUGUACUGGCUGAGGUAGCAAUAAAUGUGAUUAUUGUUGGUAAAAUGUGCUUAUUUUUUGUCUGCAGGUGUGAAGAUUAACAAAAAUAUAAAAGCUAGAAUUGGGGAACAUGUCUUGAUUCCCUGCCAAACCAAUUCUGCAAGACAAAUCAAUGGCAGUGUUAACUGGCAUAUUGCUCUACAAGGACAACCAUACUACCCUCUCUCAAUUGACAGUAUGACAACAAAAUAUGUAAAAUAUAUAACUUCUUCAUUGUUAAUUAUUGAUGUCAAUGGUAAAGAUGCAGGCGUUUACCUGUGUGAGCUGACCACUCCUGGGGAAUUCUAUGAAACUAAGCUCGGCGUAAUCAAAGGUAAACCUUCCACCAAAAGAAAAAAUGGACUGAUCUCACCGAAACCAACAUCAACCGAAGAACCAUCGCAUGAAAACCUUCCAGCGGUUUACAUUGGGGUGACAACAUUAUGCACAGUAAUCAUUUGUUGGGCUGUCCACUAUUCUUGGAAGAAAAUGAAGAUCAAGAGGAGCAACACGUCAGACUCGGCCUCGAACAAUGUAAACAAUGUCUCCAAUUCGGGACAAAUUCAACCAGAUACUUACUGCGCCAUCAGUCCAUCCGAAACUCUACCUGAACCUGAAUAUGCAGACUACACGUUCACAGGUAAUACUCUCUACAAUGCUAGAAACAUUCUACAAUACUAGCGAGCCUCUCUUAAGCUUUGUUAAAUCUAUAUUACCAUACUAGCAAGGGCCUUUCCAUUAUUGGUCAGGCUUACUACAUCAGUAAUAAGGAUUUUUACAUUACUAAUCAGGCUGACUACAUUAUUAAUACAAUAUUGUUAGUAAGAUGGCAAUGCAUGAUGCCUAGUAAGGCAUACUACAUGACAAGUAAGGGUCUCCAGAUUACUAGUCAAACUUUGCAGUACAAUUCACCACUUGUUAUAUUACAAGUAGGUUUACAACAUAAAACUAGGACUCAUUACAUUACUAGUAAUGUUUACUACCUUAUAUUUAACGCUCUCCAAAUUAAUAAUAAUAUUUUACUGGUAACACUUAUCACAUUAUUAGUACGCUUCUUUAUAUCACUAGUCAAGCUUACUUCGUUACUCGUAAACCUCCUUUACAUUAUCAUUAAGGCGUAUUACAUAACUAGUCAGGCUCUCCACAUUGCCAUUAAGACUACACCAGCAACACUUUCCAGAAUACUCGCAAGCAUAUUUACAUGACUAGUCAGGUUCAUCACAUUACUAGCAAGCAUCUACAUUACUUGUAAGACUCUCCACAUGCCAGGUGCGUCUCUACAUUACGAGUAAUUUCCUCUACAAAAGUCAGCUAUGAAAGGCUAAAGACUGCUCUUGAAACCUCGAAUGUGGCAUGGGGAAAACGAGUAAAGAAGGCAAAACUGUUCCCAGGCGUGAAGAUCACCUCUCUUUGCAUCUUUAGUUUGCAAUUGUUUUCCAAGUGCUAAAGCAAUGAACACAUACAUGUAUUUUGCAAUUGAUUUAAACACAAACAUAUAAUAACCAUAUUUUUUUUGGCAAACCAAUGGAGUUCCUCAACUGUUUUUUUUUAUAAUUUGUUUGUCAAUUUCCUGCUUGUCAUCAGGGAGCCCUGCAGGCCUAAUGUAAUUUUUGGUUAUAUAAACCUUGACGAGGAUGUUCUGCAGAAAUACAAUUGCACUCAUUCAUAGUGAUCUAUAUAUAUCGAUAAUAUCUACCAUUACCAAGUCUAUCAUAUUUUUAUUUUUCCAUCUGGUGUCUUCCAUGUAUUUUUUGCAGUCUUUUUGAUGAAACGUAGUAUUACAAAUCAACAUAUCAUGUUUUGCAGCAAAUUGUAGUAAAUCUUCUCCCCUUUAAUUUCUUUCUCCAUACCCAUGCCGUUGCAUUAUACGCUCCCAUCCGGUGUUAUCCUGUCCAAUCUUCGCAUUUCAGUCUCCUACAAU